This 404-nucleotide ribosomal RNA is filed under the name uncultured Micromonas. RNAcentral's name for it is "partial Bacterial small subunit ribosomal RNA". It matches the Rfam family "Bacterial small subunit ribosomal RNA", at positions 1017 to 1425 of the family's 1533-position model. The record is from RNAcentral. Lineage: Eukaryota; Viridiplantae; Chlorophyta; Mamiellophyceae; Mamiellales.
UGCUUAGUAUUUUGGUAUACAGGCGCUGCAUGGCUGUCGUCAGUUCGUGGCGUGAGCUGUUGGGUUAAGUCCUAGAACGAACGCAACCCUCUUGAUAUGUGUAUAUUGUUAAAGUAUACCUUAUCAUACUGCCAGUGACAUACGGGAGGAAGGUGAGGAUGACGUCAAGUCCGCAUGGCCCUUAUGGGUUGGGCUACACACGUGCUACAAUGGCGGAAGCAAAAGGUGGCAAUAUGGUGACAUGGAGCAAAUCCUUAAAAACCGUCGUAGUUCGGAUUGUUCUCUGCAACUCGAGAACAUGAAGAUGGAAUCGCUAGUAAUCGUAGAUCAGCAUGCUACGGUGAAUUUGUAUCUAAGCCUUGUACACACCGCCCGUCACAUAAUGGGAGCGAGAUCUGCACAAA